Gossypium arboreum is the source of this 263-nucleotide long non-coding RNA. RefSeq lists it as uncharacterized. The record is from RefSeq and is a predicted model, not a curated record. Lineage: Eukaryota; Viridiplantae; Streptophyta; Magnoliopsida; Malvales; Malvaceae. The transcript has 3 exons.
AUUGUUUAUCAAAGAUUUUUCAAGGGUAUUUUAAUGAUGGAUUAUUCAUUUUAUGUUUAAAUUUGAGAUAGAUCUAAUUAAAUCGAGAAGUGGGCGUUAGAAGGAGUUUCCACAUUGGAAUUACUAUGAUUAGAUAACCCCGAGGUUAGCAUUGGAUGACGGCAUUUGAAGGAGUUUCUCGGAAUGAAGUUGGUGUGCUGAAUUCAAACUCUUACAAAAGGGGGCUAAAUUGGAACAAAAAGCAAAGAUAAGGGAUUGAUUGA